GAUCAAGCUACUAAGGGCACUUGGUGGAUGCCUUGGCAUAAGGAGGCGAUGAAGGACGUGGUAAGCUGCGAUAAGCUUCGGUGAGCUGCAAACAAGCUUUGAUCCGGAGAUUUCCGAAUGGGGAAACCUCUCUCAAUAAACUUGAGAGACUACUCUCUGAAUAUAUAGGAGAGUUAGAGCUAACUCAGGGAAGUGAACCAUCUCAGUACCUGAAGGAAAAGAAAACAACCGUGAUUUCCAAAGUAGCGGCGAGCGAAAUGGAAAGAGCCUAAACCAUUCAAGAGCAAUUGCGAGUGGGGUUGCAGGACCGCAUAAGUAGAGUUAUAAAUCAAGGGGCUAGUUGAACGACUUGGGAAGGUCGGCCAAAGAAUGUGACAGCCAUGUAAGCGAAAGCCUUUUGACUCGAAGCGGUAUCCUAAGUACCGCGGGGCACGUGAAACCCUGUGGGAAUCCAGGAGGACCAUCUCCUAAGGCUAAAUACUACCUUAUGACCGAUAGUGAACCAGUACCGUGAGGGAAAGGUGAAAAGUACCCCUGCGAGGGGAGUUAAAAGUACCUGAAACCAAGUGCUUACAAGCAGUGGAAGGGCUGUGGUUGCAAAACCCGCCUGACCGCGUGCCUUUUGCAUAAUGAGCCGGCUAGUUAUUUUCUGUGGCAAGGUUAAGCGUAAGCGAGCCGUAGCGAAAGCGAGUCUUAAUAGGGCGAAUUGAGUCGCAGGGAAUAGACGUGAAACGGGAUGAUCUAUCCUUGGCCAGGGUGAAAGACGGGUAACACCGUGUGGAGGCCCGAACCAAUGUUGGUUGAAAACAGCUUGGAUGAGCUGAGGAUAGGGGUGAAAGGCUAAUCAAAUUCCGUGAUAGCUCGUUCUCCCCGAAAUAGCUUUAGGGCUAGCCUCAUGUGAUUUGUCUCGGUGGUAGAGAACUGAAUGGACUAGGGGCCUUACCAGGUUACUGAAUCCAAUCAAACUUCGAAUGCCGUUAACAACAGCAUGGGAGUCAGACAGUGGGGGCUAAGCUUCAUUGUCGAGAGGGAAAGAACCCAGAUCAUCAGCUAAGGUCCCUAAGUGCAGACUAAGUGGGAAAGGAAGUGGAAAAGCACAGACAGCCAGGAGGUUGGCUUAGAAGCAGCCAUCCUUUAAAGAAAGCGUAACAGCUCACUGGUCAAGCAGUUCCGUGCCGACAAUUUAACGGGGCUUAAGUCUGCCACCGAAGCUAUGAAAUAUAUUUACUUAGGUAAAUAGAUUGGUAGGGGAGCGUUCCGUACUGGAUGAAGCCUUAUCGAGAGGAAAGGUGGACGGUACUGAAGAGACCCUGCCGGCAUAAGUAGCGAUAAACCAGGUGAGAACCCUGGUCGCCGAAAGUCUAAGGUUUCCUGAAAAAGGUUAAUCCGUUCAGGGUUAGUCGGUCCCUAAGUCGAGGUCGAAAGGCGUAGACGAUGGGGAACAGGUCAACAUUCCUGUACUACUAAGUGCGCGUUAUCACCAAUGGGGUGACGCAGAAGGAUAAGCUGGACGGCUGAUGGAUGCGCCGUUCCAAGCUCUUAGGGGGAACAAAUAGGAAAAUCCGUUUGUUCAUUAACCCUGAAAAGUUAUGGGGAGCCCGCAAGGGUUAAUCAAACCAGCUGAUUCCACACUGCCAAGAAAAACCUCUAGGGAGUUCACUCAGUAACCGUACCGCAAACCGACACAGGUAGACAAGGAGAGUAUCCUAAGGCGCUUGAGAGAACACACGUUCAGGAACUCGGCAAAAUAACUCCGUAACUUCGGGAGAAGGAGUGCCCCGUUAGGGUUUAUAGCCCGAAGGGGUUGCAGUGAAAUGGCCCAAGCGACUGUUUAACAAAAACAUAGGUCUCUGCAAAGUCGAAAACGACGUAUAGGGGCUGACGCCUGCCCGGUGCCGGAAGGUUAAGAGGAGAGGUUAGUCGCAAGACGAAGCUUUGAAUUGAAGCCCCGGUGAACGGCGGCCGUAACUAUAACGGUCCUAAGGUAGCGAAAUUCCUUGUCGGGUAAGUUCCGACCUGCACGAAUGGCGUAACGAUUUGGGCACUGUCUUAACGUGUGACUCAGCGAACUUGUAAUACCGGUGAAGAUGCCGGUUACCCGCAUCAAGACGGAAAGACCCCGUGCACCUUAACUAUACCUUAGCAAUGAAUUAUGGUCCGUUAUGCGCAGAAUAGGUGGGAGGCUUUGAACCAUGCCCUUUGGGGUGUGGGGAGCCAUCGGUGAGAUACCACCCUUAUCGGUCUGUGUUUCUAACCUAUUACCGUUAUCCGGUAAAGGGACAUUGCUAGGCGGGUAGUUUGACUGGGGCGGUCGCCUCCCAAAAUGUAACGGAGGCGCUCAAAGGUGUCCUCAGGCUGAUUGGAAACCAGCCGCAGAGUGUAAAGGCAUAAGGACGCUUAACUGCGAGACAGACAAGUCGAGCAGAUAGGAAACUAGGACUUAGUGAUCCGGUGGUUCUGUAUGGAAAGGCCAUCGCUCAACGGAUAAAAGGUACGCCGGGGAUAACAGGCUUAUCUUGCCCAAGAGUUCAUAUCGACGGCAAGGUUUGGCACCUCGAUGUCGGCUCAUCGCAUCCUGGAGCUGUAGCAGGUUCCAAGGGUUAGGCUGUUCGCCUAUUAAAGCGGUACGUGAGCUGGGUUCAGAACGUCGCGAGACAGUUCGGUCCCUAUCUGGUGUGGGCGCAGGAGAUUUGAGGAAGGCUGUCCUUAGUACGAGAGGACCGGGAUGGACGAACCUCUAGUGUACCAGUUGUUUCGCCAGAAGCAGUCGCUGGGUAGCUACGUUCGGUCGGGAUAAACGCUGAAUGCAUAUAAGCGUGAAGCCCAUUCCAAGAUGAGAUCUCCCAACCAAUAGGUAAGAAGACCUGUAGUAGACUACUACGUUGAUAGGCUGGAUGUGUAAGGUCAGUAAUGGCUUCAGCUAACCAGUACUAAUCGGUCGUUCGGCUUGAUCUU
This 2955-nucleotide ribosomal RNA is filed under the name Terriglobia bacterium. RNAcentral describes it as "23S ribosomal RNA". It matches the Rfam family "Bacterial large subunit ribosomal RNA". Lineage: Bacteria; Pseudomonadati; Acidobacteriota; Terriglobia. The record is from RNAcentral.